Molecule: non-coding RNA, 653 nt
Organism: Arachis ipaensis
Lineage: Eukaryota; Viridiplantae; Streptophyta; Magnoliopsida; Fabales; Fabaceae
Source: RefSeq, a predicted model, not a curated record
UGUGCGCCGAAACCUGCAACCCUGGACGGCGUCCCUUCUUUGUGAACAUCCUUCCUCGCUGGCCUCAAGUCCUUCGCCCUGUUGCGGUUGCACAUCCUACCGUCACUGCAGCCCAGCCUCCGCGCGCAACGCCUCCGACCUGAACUGGAGCCCAUUGAGCCGUCACCGCCGAACCGAGCAGCAAUGCCUAUUCUCCUUGCUCGGACACCAUGGUCUCCAACAUUCCUGUCGCACUGGUCACAGCGGAGGAUCCGAGCCUGGAAAUUUUGCCGCCUGAUUGUGGACCAUUCACCGGGACCAUCACGAACAUCAUAACCAGAACUAUGCUAACCAUCCACGGCUUGGACCACCAGAUUUUCACCCCCAGACGCCAAAUUGCCCUGAAGAGACUCUAACAAGGGGAUAUCUGCUAUCUGGAUAUAAAGAAACGGAAGCUAGAGAAAUCUCACUAUCCCAGGUUCAAAGUUUUAACAAGACAGUUGUCCUUAAUUGCAAGGAGGUGAAUCCAUUUCCUCUAGUGUUCAUUAGAUAUUCAUUUUCACUCUAUUUAUUUUGGUUUCUCUGAAUUUACAGCACAAUGUCCAUUUUCUAUUUUUUGUAUUCAUUCUUUCAUUUGAAGUCUUUUUAGAUUCAGGUUAACUCUUGUAUCUUUC